Thamnophis elegans (Western terrestrial garter snake) is the source of this 369-nucleotide non-coding RNA. The record is from the annotation of a RefSeq genome assembly. Lineage: Eukaryota; Metazoa; Chordata; Lepidosauria; Squamata; Natricidae.
AUGAUAUUUUUGCUCCAACUCAUCACCAUUGUAGCAGUCUUUAAAAAUGUCCAAAUGGAAGCCCAGCUGGUGGAAUCCGGAGGAGAUGUGAGAAGGCCUGGGGAGUCCCUCCGCCUCUCCUGCCAAGCUUCAGGCUUCACCUUCAGCAGCUACGAUAUGGUCUGGGUGAGACAGGCUCCAGGGAAAGGACUGGAGUGGGUUGCAUCGAUAGACAGUCCUGGAGAUGGAAGCAGGCCCACUUAUGCCAACUCUGUGAAAGGCCAUUUCACCAUUUCCCGGCAAGAUGCCUCCAGCGUGGUUUAUCUCCAAAUGAACAGCUUGAAACCAGAGGACACGGCUGUGUAUUACUGUGCUACAGAGCCACAGUGA